UACGUAGGGGCCUAGCGUUGUCCGGAUUUAUUGGGCGUAAAGCGUGCGUAGGCGGUUCGCUGUGUCCGAUGUGAAAGCCCCGGGCUUAACCUGGGAAUGGCAUUGGAAACUGGCGGGCUUGAGUGCGGCAGAGGGGGGUGGAAUUCCGCGUGUAGCAGUGAAAUGCGUAGAGAUGCGGAGGAACACCGAUGGCGAAGGCAGCCCCCUGGGCCAAUACUGACGCUCAGGCACGAAAGCGUGGGGAGCAAACAGG
RNAcentral lists this ribosomal RNA (253 nucleotides) under uncultured bacterium. RNAcentral describes it as "partial 16S ribosomal RNA". It matches the Rfam family "Bacterial small subunit ribosomal RNA", at positions 524 to 776 of the family's 1533-position model. The record is from RNAcentral.